AGAUAGGAAAACUCCGUUCCGAAACGGGGCAAUGCCGCCUGAUCUUCGAGAGCACGCCCGUCUUCUAUCGAAAGGGAAUCGGGUUAAUAUUCCCGAACCCGGACACGAGAUUGGUCCUCACGGGCCAUGUGCGGUAACVAACGAACUCGGAGACGUCGGUGGGAGUCCCGGGAAGAGUUNUCUUUUCUUUGUAAGGGACGGACUCCCUGGAAUCGGCUUGCCGGAGAUAGGGACGUUGUUCCCGUAAAGCACCGCGGCUCUUGCGUGUCCGGUGCACUCCCAUCGGCCCUUGAAAAUCCGAGGGAGACAGUGUGAUUUUCGUGCCGGACCGUACCAUAUC
This 340-nucleotide ribosomal RNA is filed under the name Nucula nucleus. Its description in RNAcentral is "LSU rRNA". It matches the Rfam family "Eukaryotic large subunit ribosomal RNA", at positions 1550 to 1849 of the family's 3401-position model. Lineage: Eukaryota; Metazoa; Mollusca; Bivalvia; Nuculida; Nuculidae. The record is from RNAcentral.